This 253-nucleotide ribosomal RNA is filed under the name uncultured bacterium. RNAcentral describes it as "partial 16S ribosomal RNA". It matches the Rfam family "Bacterial small subunit ribosomal RNA", at positions 524 to 776 of the family's 1533-position model. The record is from RNAcentral.
UACGUAGGGGGCUAGCGUUGUCCGGAUUUAUUGGGCGUAAAGAGCGUGUAGGCGGCCAGAUAGGUCCGUUGUGAAAACUCGAGGCUCAACCUCGAGACGCCGAUGGAAACCAUCUGGCUAGAGUCCGGAAGAGGAGAGUGGAAUUCCUGGUGUAGCGGUGAAAUGCGCAGAUAUCAGGAAGAACACCCGUGGCUAAGGCGGCUCUCUAGUACAGUACUGACGCUGAGACGCGAAAGCGUGGGGAGCGAACAGG